RNAcentral lists this transfer RNA (65 nucleotides) under Plagiorchis maculosus. Its description in RNAcentral is "tRNA-Cys". The record is from RNAcentral. Lineage: Eukaryota; Metazoa; Platyhelminthes; Trematoda; Plagiorchiida; Plagiorchiidae.
UGGGCGUGUUACUUAGGUAGUCUACUCUGCAAAGGUAGUUUUUAGUGGUUACACUCGCGCCUUAU